UGAGUUGCCGUGGCAACGCGGUAGCCGGGCGGCUGGUUCCAGCGUCUGGGAUGGCGGCGGGGCUGGAGCCGGUCCGGUCCGCCUUUCCCAGCUUAGAUUCGUGGAUUCCAGAUAAAUCAGAGAAACAAGUGUCAUGAACAGGAAUGUGUAGGAAGUGUGGGGAUGCUGAAACCCAGGCCUAGUUGCAGAAGACCUGGUCUGGGGCACUCACCUUAGAGAAGAGAUUAUUUCCCAAAUCACCUCACUUGUUCUCAGGCUUAUGUUGUAGUAAGUUUCGGUAUGUUUGUAUGUUUGUUUGUUUGUUUUUUUAAAUAAAUGUUGAUAAUCCCUGAAAAUCUCAAAA
Long non-coding RNA from Neogale vison (American mink), 343 nucleotides. RefSeq lists it as uncharacterized. NCBI's taxonomy places the organism in Eukaryota, Metazoa, Chordata, Mammalia, Carnivora, Mustelidae. The transcript is spliced from 2 exons. The record is from RefSeq and is a predicted model, not a curated record.